CGGGUUAAGGCCAGUUUGGUAAGGCCCUCUGUUUGGGACAGAGAGAUCCUAUGUUCGAUCCAUAGUAACCCGA
Molecule: transfer RNA, 73 nt
Filed under: Ophiostoma himal-ulmi
Lineage: Eukaryota; Fungi; Ascomycota; Sordariomycetes; Ophiostomatales; Ophiostomataceae
Also listed under: 3 other names
Description: tRNA-Pro
Source: RNAcentral